This 669-nucleotide ribosomal RNA is filed under the name Shewanella benthica KT99. RNAcentral's name for it is "bacterial SSU rRNA". It matches the Rfam family "Bacterial small subunit ribosomal RNA", at positions 870 to 1533 of the family's 1533-position model. The record is from RNAcentral. Lineage: Bacteria; Pseudomonadati; Pseudomonadota; Gammaproteobacteria; Alteromonadales; Shewanellaceae.
GAGCUGGGGAGUACGGCCGCAGGUUAAAACUCAAAUGAAUUGACGGGGGCCCGCACAAGCGGUGGAGCAUGUGGUUUAAUUCGAUGCAACGCGAAGAACCUUACCUACUCUUGACAUCCACAGAAUUUGCUAGAGAUAGCUUAGUGCCUUCGGGAACUGUGAGACAGGUGCUGCAUGGCUGUCGUCAGCUCGUGUUGUGAAAUGUUGGGUUAAGUCCCGCAACGAGCGCAACCCUUAUCCUUAUUUGCCAGCACGUAAUGGUGGGAACUUUAGGGAGACUGCCGGUGAUAAACCGGAGGAAGGUGGGGACGACGUCAAGUCAUCAUGGCCCUUACGAGUAGGGCUACACACGUGCUACAAUGGUCGGUACAGAGGGUUGCAACGCCGCGAGGUCAAGCUAAUCCCACAAAGCCGGUCGUAGUCCGGAUCGGAGUCUGCAACUCGACUCCGUGAAGUCGGAAUCGCUAGUAAUCGUGAAUCAGAAUGUCACGGUGAAUACGUUCCCGGGCCUUGUACACACCGCCCGUCACACCAUGGGAGUGGGCUGCACCAGAAGUAGAUAGCUUAACCCUUCGGGGAGGGCGUUUACCACGGUGUGGUUCAUGACUGGGGUGAAGUCGUAACAAGGUAGCCCUAGGGGAACCUGGGGCUGGAUCACCUCCUUACCUA